CAUCUUUACAAAUUAGCCACGCCUUCCUUUUUGAACUGUAUUGGAGGACACUGCCCCAAAUUCUACAGUGAUUUCUAUGGAAUAUAUUCUUACCCAAAACGCCGCAACCAAAUUUUAUUGGGCACAUCAGCCAACCCAGGUUAACUUGGGGUCCAUUGACUUUCUAUGGAGUUUUCAUUACACAGUUUUGUUAUUUGUAUUUAUAUCCCUUAAUCUCUUUCUCUUAACCUCUAAUUUUGUCUAUCAUCACCAUCAUCAAUUCAUCAUAUACCUAUCAGAUUCUUGUUUCA
This 290-nucleotide unclassified non-coding RNA is filed under the name Hevea brasiliensis (rubber tree). Lineage: Eukaryota; Viridiplantae; Streptophyta; Magnoliopsida; Malpighiales; Euphorbiaceae. The record is from RNAcentral.